AUUGAAGCUAUGAAGAGGAAGAGUAAGUAAAGUACUAUUUUACAGAGAGAGAAGUUCAUCGGAUGAAAGACUUCUUAGAUAAGUGUUACCGAAAACCACCUCCGAGCUGAAUACUGAAACAAAGUAAGUAUCUCCGAAUGACCUGCGUUAAGGGUUUCAAGUGAUAGUAUGUUUAUUUUAUGCUAUAAUUUGGGUGGAACCGCGAUAGUAACUCGUCCCAUGU
This 223-nucleotide non-coding RNA is filed under the name Clostridium cadaveris. Its description in RNAcentral is "T-box sequence". It matches the Rfam family "T-box leader". From Rfam's summary of the family: Uncharged tRNA acts as the effector for transcription antitermination of genes in the T-box leader family. T-boxes are found upstream of many aminoacyl-tRNA synthetase genes and some amino acid biosynthetic genes usually in Gram-positive bacteria. The anticodon of a specific tRNA base pairs to a specifier sequence within the T-box motif, and the NCCA acceptor tail of the tRNA base pairs to a conserved bulge in the T-box antiterminator hairpin. Lineage: Bacteria; Bacillati; Bacillota; Clostridia; Eubacteriales; Clostridiaceae. The record is from RNAcentral.